Molecule: ribosomal RNA, 301 nt
Filed under: uncultured bacterium
Lineage: Bacteria
Description: partial 16S ribosomal RNA
Rfam family: Bacterial small subunit ribosomal RNA
Source: RNAcentral
CAGUCGCCACGGUAAUACGGAGGGUGCAAGCGUUAAUCGGAAUUACUGGGCGUAAAGCGCACGCAGGCGGUCUGUCAAGUCAGAUGUGAAAUCCCCGGGCUUAACCUGGGAACUGCAUUUGAAACUGGCAGGCUAGAGUCUUGUAGAGGGGGGUAGAAUUCCAGGUGUAGCGGUGAAAUGCGUAGAGAUCUGGAGGAAUACCGGUGGCGAAGGCAGCCAUCUGGCCUAAUACUGACGCUGAGGUACGAAAGCAUGGGGAGCAAACAGGAUUAGAUACCCCUGUAGUCCCUGUCUCUUAUAC